UGGGGAAUAUUGCACAAUGGAGGGAACUCUGAUGCAGCAACGCCGCGUGCGGGAUGACGGCCUUCGGGUUGUAAACCGCUUUCAGCCAUGACGAAGCUUUUGUGACGGUAGUGGUAGAAGAAGCACCGGCUAACUACGUGCCAGCAGCCGCGGUGAUACGUAGGGUGCGAGCGUUGUCCGGAAUUAUUGGGCGUAAAGAGCUUGUAGGCGGUUUGUCGCGUCGAUAGUGUAAACACGCAGCUUAACUGUGUGCCUGCUGUCGAUACGGGCUGACUAGAGGAGGGUAGGGGAGAAUGGAAUUCCCGGUGGAGCGGUGGAAUGUGCAGAUAUCGGGAGGAACACCAGUGGCGAAGGCGGUUCUCUGGACCUUUCCUGACGCUGAGAAGCGAAAGCGUGGGUAGCAAACAGG
This 409-nucleotide ribosomal RNA is filed under the name Fusobacteriota bacterium. RNAcentral describes it as "Fusobacteria bacterium partial 16S ribosomal RNA". It matches the Rfam family "Bacterial small subunit ribosomal RNA", at positions 355 to 776 of the family's 1533-position model. Lineage: Bacteria; Fusobacteriati; Fusobacteriota. The record is from RNAcentral.